UACGGAGGGGGCUAGCGUUGUUCGGAAUUACUGGGCGUAAAGCGCACGUAGGCGGCUUUGUAAGUUAGAGGUGAAAGCCCGGAGCUCAACUCCGGAAUAGCCUUUAAGACUGCAUCGCUAGAACGUUGGAGAGGUAAGUGGAAUUCCGAGUGUAGAGGUGAAAUUCGUAGAUAUUCGGAAGAACACCAGUGGCGAAGGCGACUUACUGGACAACUGUUGACGCUGAGGCGCGAAAGCUAGGGUAGCAAACGGG
RNAcentral lists this ribosomal RNA (253 nucleotides) under uncultured bacterium. RNAcentral describes it as "partial 16S ribosomal RNA". It matches the Rfam family "Bacterial small subunit ribosomal RNA", at positions 524 to 776 of the family's 1533-position model. The record is from RNAcentral.